CAAGUCCCUAGAUUGGGAAAUAUAAAUCUCAUGGGAAGUCAGCCGAAGAACAUUUUAUGCAUCACUCAUCCUAUUAUGAGCCCUGUGCCCUUUCAUCUCUCUACAAGG
This 108-nucleotide long non-coding RNA is filed under the name Castor canadensis (American beaver). Its description in RNAcentral is "Rhabdomyosarcoma 2 associated transcript conserved region 4 (ENSCCNG00000015746.1)". It matches the Rfam family "Rhabdomyosarcoma 2 associated transcript conserved region 4". The record is from RNAcentral. Lineage: Eukaryota; Metazoa; Chordata; Mammalia; Rodentia; Castoridae.